This 253-nucleotide ribosomal RNA is filed under the name uncultured bacterium. Its description in RNAcentral is "partial 16S ribosomal RNA". It matches the Rfam family "Bacterial small subunit ribosomal RNA", at positions 524 to 776 of the family's 1533-position model. The record is from RNAcentral.
UACGUAGGGUGCGAGCGUUAAUCGGAAUUACUGGGCGUAAAGAGCUCGUAGGUGGUUUGUCGCGUUGUUCGUGAAAACUCACAGCUCAACUGUGGGCGUGCGGGCGAUACGGGCAGACUGGAGUACUGCAGGGGAGACUGGAAUUCCUGGUGUAGCGGUGGAAUGCGUAGAGAUCCGGAGGAACACCAGCGGCGAAGGCGGCAUCCUGGACUGGUCCUGACACUCAUGAGCGAAAGCGUGGGGAGCGAUCCGG